CCCGACUCAGCAGUGGCAAUUUGUAACACUCACCGGGAAGGUCUGCAGCUUUGCUCCUGAAGCCAGCGAGACCACGAACCCACCGGGAGGAACGAACAACUCCAGAUGCGUCGACUUAAGAGCUGUAACACUCACUGCGAAAGUCUGCAGCUUUACUCCUGAGCUAGUGAGACCACGAACCCACCAGGAGGAAGAAACUCUGAACACAUCCGAACGUCAGAAAGAAUAAACUCUGGACACGCCGCCUUUAAGAACUGUAACACUUACCGCGAGGGUCUGCGGCUUCAUUCUUGAAGUCAGUGAGACCAAGAACCCACCAAUUCUGGACACAUUUUCGUGGUUUGAUAGCACGUUUCCUUUUAGCACUGAAUAAUGUCUGGCUAUUCCACAGUUUUUCAAAGCAGAUUAAUUAUGCCCUGGCUACCAACUUGCUUGAGUUGGGUGGAACAGAAAAACCCCCCCAAUCAAAUAAGCUACACGCACCAGAUGUAUUACUUACAGAUAGGCAGCAAGGGACAGCGUAGCCUAGGACUCAGCCAGUCCCCCGAGGCUCACAAAAGCUGCCUGGGGUGAAUGGAGUCUUGUCAGUGUGUAUGUCUUGCUUACCUCACUAGCAAACUGCCCUGGGUUUUGUAUCCUAGGGACAACAGGACUUGGUGGGCUAAAAUGUUGAAGGACGUCCUAUUUCUUUCUUGUUUUCUUUUUUUUUAAAGGAUAUUCUAUUUCUAGGAGGGCCUGGAAUAGAGCUCAGGCUGUGCUGUCCAGUCCCUCGUUAUCCCAGGAUGCUGCAUUCCCAGAACAAUCUACGGUUAUUCUUGAAUACUAUAAGUGAGAAAGCGGAGAACUGGGUGGCCCAAGGCCACCCGGAGAACUGUCUGCCAAUCAUCAAUAGAAUUUCAGACCAAUUGUCUUGAAUGCAACAAAGCUGCUAAAUCCUCUCAACUCCCCUGGACCCAGCACUUUGCAUGGGAAGAGAAUGGAACCAGGAUGAUUAUUUCCUGUAGCCAUCCACAUGGCAUCGAAGGAGGAAAGGUGUAACAAGCCAUUUUGUCCAUUUGAAGCAAUUACUCAAACUGCUCCCACCAAGACCAGAAUGUUUCAAUGAUGUCUGUGAGCAGGCACCAGUUAGGAGGUUAUUAUAAUAAUCUGGAACGUAAGGACAAGAACCUGAACUGGAGAGACAGCAGUGAACAGAUAAGAGAAAGCAAGAGACAGAAACAAGGUAUUUUCAUGAAAAAGAGCAAUAUCACUUGGAAACUAAAUAGAGGGAAAGGAGAGAAGGAUUAAUCAAUGCCAAGGCCGUUGUUGGAUGUAAUCAGGUUAUCUCCAGUUGGAUCACCCCAUGGGCAGCUACAACCAACGAAUCUAAAACUUAACAGAUUUAGGCCACCUGUUACAUUCAGUGGUUCUGUCACUCCCUCAGCCAUCUGCAUUUGAAACUUUAGAUGGUCUUUGAUUCUACUCAUA
This 1467-nucleotide long non-coding RNA is filed under the name Homo sapiens (human). Its description in RNAcentral is "HSALNT0390052". Lineage: Eukaryota; Metazoa; Chordata; Mammalia; Primates; Hominidae. The record is from RNAcentral.